AUUGGUCCAGUCACACCCCACCACCCAUAUUAAUCAGGUCACACCUCACCAGCCAUAUUAAUCAGGUCACACCACACCACCCUUAUUGAUCAGGUCACACCUCACCACCCAUAUUGAUCAGGUCACACCUCACCACCCAUAUUAAUCAGGUCACACCACACCACCCAUAUUAAUCAGGUCACACCACACCACCCAUAUUGAUCAGGUCACACCUCACCACCCAUAUUGAUCAGGUAACACCUCACCACCCAUGUUAAUCAGGUCAUACCUCACCACCAAUAUUGGUCCGGUCACACCUCACGAUCCACAUUAAUCAGGUCACACCCCCGACCCAUAUUAAUCAGGUCAUACCUCACCACCCAUAUUGGUCUAGUCACAUCUCACCACCCAUAUUGAUCAGGUCACAUAUCACCACCCAUAUUGGUCCAGUCACACCUCCCCACCUAUAUUGAUGAGGAUACACCUCACCCCCCAUAUUGAUCAGGUCACAUUUCACCACCCAUAUUAAUCAGGUCACACCUCACCAACCUUAUUGAUCAGGUCACACCUCACCAACCUUAUUGAUCAGGUCACACCUCACCCCCCAUAUUGA
Molecule: long non-coding RNA, 592 nt
Organism: Oncorhynchus tshawytscha (Chinook salmon)
Lineage: Eukaryota; Metazoa; Chordata; Actinopteri; Salmoniformes; Salmonidae
Source: Ensembl